RNAcentral lists this ribosomal RNA (556 nucleotides) under Candida albicans. Its description in RNAcentral is "LSU rRNA". It matches the Rfam family "Eukaryotic large subunit ribosomal RNA", at positions 38 to 604 of the family's 3401-position model. The record is from RNAcentral. Lineage: Eukaryota; Fungi; Ascomycota; Pichiomycetes; Serinales; Debaryomycetaceae.
GCAUAUCAAUAAGCGGAGGAAAAGAAACCAACAGGGAUUGCCUCAGUAGCGGCGAGUGAAGCGGCAAAAGCUCAAAUUUGAAAUCUGGCGUCUUUGGCGUCCGAGUUGUAAUUUGAAGAAGGUAUCUUUGGGCCCGGCUCUUGUCUAUGUUCCUUGGAACAGGACGUCACAGAGGGUGAGAAUCCCGUGCGAUGAGAUGACCCGGGUCUGUGUAAAGUUCCUUCGACGAGUCGAGUUGUUUGGGAAUGCAGCUCUAAGUGGGUGGUAAAUUCCAUCUAAAGCUAAAUAUUGGCGAGAGACCGAUAGCGAACAAGUACAGUGAUGGAAAGAUGAAAAGAACUUUGAAAAGAGAGUGAAAAAGUACGUGAAAUUGUUGAAAGGGAAGGGCUUGAGAUCAGACUUGGUAUUUUGCAUGCUGCUCUCUCGGGGGCGGCCGCUGCGGUUUACCGGGCCAGCAUCGGUUUGGAGCGGCAGGAUAAUGGCGGAGGAAUGUGGCACGGCUUCUGCUGUGUGUUAUAGCCUCUGACGAUACUGCCAGCCUAGACCGAGGACUGCG